AGUAACAAACGUGCGUCUCCAGUGGCUCGAUCGGCAGUUCCAACCCGCUAACGGCUCUAACUAAUUUCUUAGACCACGCCCCUACAGUUACCACGCAUUUUCUACCGCGGAAUUUUUCACCCCCCGCUGUGAAAACCUCGACCCCACCUGUGCCGCCCUCUUUCUUGAUGUCGAUGACCUUGGUGUUGUCCUUCAAGACGGCGCCGUUUUUGUAGGCUAGGGUUUGGAACAUGGCCACUGCUUUUGUGGGCUUGAUGACGCCUCCGUGCUCGUUGGAGAGGCCCACCCAACCCUCCGGGAUGUCGAUGCGGCCGGAGAAUUUGUCGGCGAGCUCUUGGCGGCCGAGGAGUUUGAAGGGGAUUUGGAGGUUGCGGCAGUAGUCGAUGAGGGCGCGCAUGGCGGGCUCGUUGUGAUGGGCCAUGUCCAUGUGAUGGGCCUUG
RNAcentral lists this long non-coding RNA (440 nucleotides) under Glycine max (soybean). RNAcentral's name for it is "long non-coding RNA (GMAX_LNC000756)". The record is from RNAcentral. Lineage: Eukaryota; Viridiplantae; Streptophyta; Magnoliopsida; Fabales; Fabaceae.